ACUUGGAGGCAGGGGGCAUUCUUCGAAUUAUGCCCUUAAUGUAGCCACCUGUAAGACCAGCCCUGAGAGAUUCAGUCCUCUUUCCCUACUCAUCUGUUAAGUGUUUACUGAACUUCUACUAUUAGCCAGGCAUUGGUCUAGGAGCUAGAAACUUAUCAGCGCACAAAGAAGACAAACUGUCAACAAAUAGGAGAUAAACACUAGGUGAAUCUAUGAGCUGUUUAUAAGGGAAGAGCGGGAACAGUACUUAGAUAACGUGGUCAGGGAAGGUAUCACAGCAGGGGGGAAAUUUUGGCCUGAAGACUGGAAAAAAAAAACAAGCCAGCCAGGCAAAUCGCCAGAGGGAAUGCAAGCCAGGCAAACAGAACAGCAAGUGCAUAUUCCUGAGUGAGAAAGAAGCGGCCAUGCUUAAGGAGAGAAGGUGGCCACAUGGCAGAGUGCAAGACAGCAUGAAAUAGAUGAGCUCACCAAAAGAUCGUCAGGGACCAGACCAGCAUGUGCCUGAUGCAUGGAUAAACAGAUACAACAUUUACUGCAAUUGCCAAAGAAGCUGCCCAUCACUGUCACGCCAGCUGCACAGUCUUCACUGAGGGAGCUUCCAAGUGCCAUUUUAUUAAUGUGGAGAGAAGAAUAACAGAUCAUAAAUGUUUGAGGUCUAUCCAGCCGGAGUACAGGGGAUUAUCUAUUAUCCUGUGAGCUCGUGUUUUAUUCAUCUUCGUGUUCCCGUGAAUUAUACAGUGCAAAAACUGCUUAGAAGGCUUCCCCUCCUAGACAGCCCAACAGCACCUCAACCUCAGCCGGAAUGAAACUGAAUGUGUUACUGCGCACCCAAACAGAGCUUCUCUUCCUGCUUUCUCUCUCCUGAAUUCUUGACCAGGCGCAGUGGCUCACACCUGUAAUCCCAGCACUUUGAGAGGCCAAGGCAGGAAGAUCCCCUGAGGUCAGAAGUUCGAGACCAGCCUGGCCAACAUGGCAAAAUCCCAUCUCUACUAAAGGGAGAAUGGGAAAUGGAAAUCUGGACCUUUCUAGCCCAGAAGAGAGUAGAAGGACAAAGAGAAGCUGAAGGCAGGCAGGUCACACUGAUUCGUAACAUCUGUGUGUCAUGGUUUCCCACCUACCAGCUAUGCUGCAGAGCAGGACAUCCAAAAUGUACAUUUUCCAAGAUCCUGGUCAGAUUCUACUCAGAAGGAGCACUCACAUGUGACUUGGAAGGCAGAAGAGAAGCGGUCAUCACAGUGGUGCUCCUCUGGCAGUGAGGGGAACAUGUGGGCUUUGGCAGAUGUGCGAUUUUGGGUGAGCCGCAAGAGUUCUGGAGGCAGCUGCAUCUGCUGGAGACCUUACAGCCUGCUGCCUCUCUCAAAGCUAAGUCAUCUCCUGUAUUAAAUUCCUUCCUUCUUGAAAUGCCUGGAGUUGUUUCCAUUUCUUUGAACAUCCCUGAUGCAAUGGAACUUAACAGUUCAUCUUAUUCUAUGGUGGAACAGAGAACAUAUUUUUAGGAAAUGUUAGCAAGAGAUGAGCUUUUAUAAAUCCCUCCCCUCCUUAACCCACCAGCAAAUCCUUUUGCCUUGUCUUACAAGUCAGCUUGCAUAGUCACUUCCUAAUCCUGUGAUGAUCACUCCAGGGCAAACACCCCUAGCUCCCAUCCAGUCCCCCUCAUCUAACAUAAGACGUAGACAGAGACUCAGCACUACAGCUUCUUCUGGGUCCCCCGCAUUGCUCUCAUGGUCAAAGGUCUUCUGUGGCUAUAUCCUCCCACCUCAGAGCUUAAACGCUCUUACCAUCCAGUCCCUCCAGAGCCUGGCUGUCCCCAGCCACCUUUACAGCACUUCCCUAGCCCAUCACAUCUCUAGCCAGGCUGUUCUCCCUCCUUUCACCAGCACACCACAUGCAUCAUGCCUUGCUUCCUUCGUUCAAGCUUUCCCUCCCCGAGAAUGCCCAACCACAUUUGCAGAGACAGCUCAAGUCUUAGCUCCUCCAUGAAGACUUCUCUAACCACACAAAAUUCCAUCAAUACCUUGCUCCUCAGAACUGAAAUAUUUGAGCCAAGGAGAUUGCCUACAAAGUCCAGCUCAAAUUGUUGACCCAGAGACUUGGGAGUUAAAUGCAUGGCUAGCUUUAAACUACCAUCAGCCCUCUGUAUCCAUAGGUUCCACACCUGUGGAUUCAACCAAGUGCAGAUAGGA
This 2183-nucleotide long non-coding RNA is filed under the name Homo sapiens (human). Its description in RNAcentral is "HSALNT0337970". Lineage: Eukaryota; Metazoa; Chordata; Mammalia; Primates; Hominidae. The record is from RNAcentral.